Molecule: long non-coding RNA, 307 nt
Filed under: Gossypium raimondii (Peruvian cotton)
Lineage: Eukaryota; Viridiplantae; Streptophyta; Magnoliopsida; Malvales; Malvaceae
Description: long non-coding RNA (GRAI_LNC006306)
Source: RNAcentral
GGUACGAGAGAGGGAUUAGGGUUUUUAGGUUUUCAAAAAAAAAUUAGGUCUUGGGCGUUAGGGUUUGUGGGCUUGUAAUUUGUGUAGUGCAUUGGGCCUUUUUUGUAAUUGGACUUUGGACUUUAUUUGAUUUUUAUUUUGUUUAUUUAUUUUUUUUUGUUUCUUACUUGGGCUCGGGCUAAAUUGGCCUAUUACAGCUGCCCCUCUUCGCUCGUUAUCGUGUAACGAGAAUGGAAUAAAAACUUUAAAAAAGACCAAUUUUGCCUGGUCUUGCCGAAUCUCGACUUCUUUGGUGUUUCUCUUUUCC